ACAAAUGCAAGAUAUAUCAAACAUCAUUUAGCAAAUAAUAUUUGCAAGAAACUGUAUAAGCAACAUCAGUCGUGGAUACGACUGUGCCUCUAUAUAAACACCACAAACUAAAGGUGCUCUUUGCAGCGAAGGAGCGCCAACAACAAGGCAAAUACAAGUAGUCGAUCUCUUCUCCUCAUGGCACAUGUCAAACAGAGCGACACAAGGAGGACCGUGGCCAUCAAUUUCCUGGUCAUUGCUAUGAUGUUUGCUUCCACUUUGCCACCCUGCCAUGCACUCAAGAGUAAGUUGUUUGCAUAUCCAAGAUAAUUAACCUACCAAAAACUUGUCUGAUUGAGUAGCUAACGCUAUGAUGGUAUAUCGCCUGUAGUUGUGGGCGAGAAAUGUGUGUAUUUGCAACGGUGCACCACAACUGACUGCAAGGAUGAAUGCAUGCGACUAAUCGGGCACAAACGUGGCUGGGUCGGGACUUGCAGAGAGGUUAAUAGCUGUUGCUGCAGAAAAUACGGGAAAGCACCAUUUUGAUCGUGGCUCCAUGAUGUAAGAUGAAUCCCAGUCGUGCUUGUGCGAAUUGUAAUCCCCGCGAAUAAGAUCAUCGCAUGUAAUGUAUCUAUCUGUUUCAUCAAAAUGGAAUAAACAUUUGGGAUGUGAUUAGGUGCAAAUCUGCCGGUUGUCUUUCUUGUAUACCCAAUUUAUCAUUCCUACUCCACAGUUUUAGAUUAUGAAUGAAUAGCCACACCAUUACUACUAUAGAUUUCAUUGGAUGUUG
RNAcentral lists this long non-coding RNA (769 nucleotides) under Triticum aestivum (bread wheat). RNAcentral's name for it is "long non-coding RNA (TAES_LNC011008)". Lineage: Eukaryota; Viridiplantae; Streptophyta; Magnoliopsida; Poales; Poaceae. The record is from RNAcentral.